GCGGACGUAGUGCACGGCGCACCGCUGCCAUGCAUGGUUGUAAAGCUUUAUUAUGUGAAGCAGCCAGACGGGGUUCGACUCCCCGCGUCCGCA
This is a non-coding RNA of Mycena epipterygia, 93 nucleotides long. The record is from the annotation of a GenBank genome assembly. NCBI's taxonomy places the organism in Eukaryota, Fungi, Basidiomycota, Agaricomycetes, Agaricales, Mycenaceae.